GCACUGCCUAGCGUGCACUCCGAAAUUUGCCAGCGUGCAUUACAUCCUGCCCCAGUCCAGCAGGCGAGCACCGUGCCUGCAAAAAAUCCCAUUCCAAAGCAAAGGAAUCCAUAAAAUGGAUUUUUCCGUUUAGUCCCGAAACUGAUAGAAAUUCCUUACCAGCUUUCCCAGAUUUCCUGUUCGGUGCCUUUUCUUUUUUGUAGGAGUGUUAAAUCUCACAAUGCUGCAGAGAGUGGAGAGAGAGAGAGAGACUGCAGCAGUUCUAAAGCCAAAGGACAGGAAAGCAGGGAUGUCAAACUGCUGGCUGGUUUCAUCAUACUGAAGCCCACCCCAUUGUUG
Crotalus tigris (Tiger rattlesnake) is the source of this 339-nucleotide long non-coding RNA. RefSeq lists it as uncharacterized. The record is from RefSeq and is a predicted model, not a curated record. The transcript is spliced from 3 exons. NCBI's taxonomy places the organism in Eukaryota, Metazoa, Chordata, Lepidosauria, Squamata, Viperidae.